This 73-nucleotide transfer RNA is filed under the name Mustela putorius furo (domestic ferret). It matches the Rfam family "tRNA". From Rfam's summary of the family: Transfer RNA (tRNA) molecules are approximately 80 nucleotides in length. The record is from Rfam by way of RNAcentral. Lineage: Eukaryota; Metazoa; Chordata; Mammalia; Carnivora; Mustelidae.
GCCUGGAUGGCUCAGUCAGUAGAGCGUGGGACUCUUAAUCUCAGAAUUGUGAGUUCCAGCCCCACACUGGGUG